UGUGUAACAAGCACACCGAUUUCAUUU
RNAcentral lists this non-coding RNA (27 nucleotides) under Mus musculus (house mouse). The record is from RNAcentral. Lineage: Eukaryota; Metazoa; Chordata; Mammalia; Rodentia; Muridae.